This 653-nucleotide ribosomal RNA is filed under the name Heyndrickxia shackletonii. RNAcentral describes it as "bacterial SSU rRNA". It matches the Rfam family "Bacterial small subunit ribosomal RNA", at positions 412 to 1053 of the family's 1533-position model. The record is from RNAcentral. Lineage: Bacteria; Bacillati; Bacillota; Bacilli; Caryophanales; Bacillaceae.
AGGUUUUCGGAUCGUAAAACUCUGUUGUUAGGGAAGAACAAGUAYCGUUCGAAUAGGGCGGUACCUUGACGGUACCUAACCAGAAAGCCACGGCUAACUACGUGCCAGCAGCCGCGGUAAUACGUAGGUGGCAAGCGUUGUCCGGAAUUAUUGGGCGUAAAGCGCGCGCAGGCGGUUUCUUAAGUCUGAUGUGAAAGCCCACGGCUCAACCGUGGAGGGUCAUUGGAAACUGGGAGACUUGAGUGCAGAAGAGGAGAGUGGAAUUCCACGUGUAGCGGUGAAAUGCGUAGAGAUGUGGAGGAACACCAGUGGCGAAGGCGACUCUCUGGUCUGUAACUGACGCUGAGGCGCGAAAGCGUGGGGAGCGAACAGGAUUAGAUACCCUGGUAGUCCACGCCGUAAACGAUGAGUGCUAAGUGUUAGAGGGUUUCCGCCCUUUAGUGCUGCAGCUAACGCAUUAAGCACUCCGCCUGGGGAGUACGGCCGCAAGGCUGAAACUCAAAGGAAUUGACGGGGGCCCGCACAAGCGGUGGAGCAUGUGGUUUAAUUCGAAGCAACGCGAAGAACCUUACCAGGUCUUGACAUCCUCUGACAACCCUAGAGAUAGGGCGUUCCCCUUCGGGGGACAGAGUGACAGGUGGUGCAUGGUUGUC